This 775-nucleotide long non-coding RNA is filed under the name Homo sapiens (human). Its description in RNAcentral is "HSALNT0113377". Lineage: Eukaryota; Metazoa; Chordata; Mammalia; Primates; Hominidae. The record is from RNAcentral.
AAGUUUACAAAAGCUAUGGAUCAAAGUUCUAAGAGCUUGGAUGCUUAUGUUGCUUAUUCCCGAGGAGGAGGAUGUGGAUGCACCCCCAUGUGUACGUAAGGACACACGAGCUAAAGGCUUUACCUGACCCAGUAAAAGUGUCAAGCGCUCCAUCUCCAGUCGUGGCUGUGGUUUCACUGCUGUUCAAGGGCUCUGUUUUGACUGCAAGAAGAGACACUACGUAGAAGAAUAAGUACAUAAAAUAAGCUGCAUUCAUACUAAGUGAGCAUCAACAAGCACCUCUUGAUCUCUAAGACAGCAAACCAAAAUCAUUACAUGCAAUAAAAUGGAAGCAAAAUCCUUUUAUAGAAGACAAGCACCGUAUUUCUCAACCAAAUGCAAGCUUACACACCAAAUGUUUUGAUUUCAAAAGAAACAAUAUUUUAAUGUCCUAGGUUGAAGAGUUUUGUGGGAUUAUUAUUCUGUAUCUUCAAAGUAAGUGAGUCAGAGCUCGUUUUGCUAAAAGUGGCAUAAAAUUACUUUCUAUACCACUUUGUCGAGAACCGUUAAGAAAUCCUUGUACUGUCAGGUCCCCCUCCCCACUAGUUAGCUACUUGCAAUUUGGAUGUUUCUGAUAGAGUCAAAUGGUAAAAAUAAAUAAACAUACAUGAUUGGCUUUUCCAUUUUUUUAGCUUUAAAAAUAAUUCUUAUCUAUAGACUAAAUCAAGGUCAUACAUAAUUAUUGUCAGGUACCAGUAAUGGCUACUAAAUCACAGAUUUCCUGUCUUCACAUCCC